AUUGAACGCUGGCGGCAGGCCUAACACAUGCAAGUCGAGCGAGCGGCGGACGGGUGAGUAAUGUCUGGGAAACUGCCUGAUGGAGGGGGAUAACUACUGGAAAAGGUAGCUAAUACCGCAUACCAUCAGAUGUGCCCAGGUGGGCUUAGCUAGUAUGUGGGGUAACGGCUCACCUAGGCGACGAUCCCUAGAUGGUCUGAGAGGAUGACAAGCCACACUGGAACUGGGACACGGCCCAGAAUCCUACGGUAGGCAGCAGUGGGGAAUAUUGCACAAUGGGCGCAAGCCUGAUGCAGCCAUGCCGCGUGUGUGAAGAAGGCCUUCGGGUUGUAAAGCACUUUCAGCGGGGAGGCGUUACCCGCAGAAGAAGCACCGGCUAACUCCGUGCCAGCAGCCGCGGUAAUAC
This 406-nucleotide ribosomal RNA is filed under the name uncultured bacterium. RNAcentral's name for it is "partial 16S ribosomal RNA". It matches the Rfam family "Bacterial small subunit ribosomal RNA", at positions 30 to 526 of the family's 1533-position model. The record is from RNAcentral.